UACUGAUUGACAAUGAGCUUAAAUUUCAUAACCAUGUCGCAAGUACUGUGAAAAAGGCCAAUGGCGUACUCUCAUGUAUACGACGUAGUUUUGAAUGCAGAGAUAAAUUUACAAUACCAAGGCUCUACAAAGGACUUGUCAGACCCAUCUUGGAUUAUGGCAACUCUAUAUGGUACCCCAGAUUCAAGAGUGAUGCUAAAUCCAUCGAGAAAGUUCAAAAGAGAGCAACCAAAAUGAUCUAUGCUAUUAGGAAUCACUCAUACACAGAGAGACUGAAGGCACUCAACCUCCCAUCCCUUCAGUACCGCAGACGUCGUGGAGACAUGAUCCAAGUGUACAAAAUUGUUCAUGGAUUUGAACGCAUCCCAAGAGAUGCCUUCUUUGAACUAUCAGCAGGCAAUACAAGAGGUCACAGUCUGAAGCUUUCUAAACCCAGAUGCUUGACCAAACUGAGGCAAGAUUCAUUCAGCCAUCGGGUCAUAAAUGACUGGAACUCACUCCCUGAAGAAGUAGUUACAGCUCAGACUGUGAAUAGCUUCAAGAUCAGACUGGACAAGGUGUGGGCAGACCAGCGGUUCUGCUCACCAUAUGAGUAGCAAACCCCUUUAAGAUAGAGAUCUGAGCCAAAAAUGACACCGAGCAGACACCACACCAAUCAUUGAGAUGGAUGAAAAUGGCACAGAACUGGAAGCCUGACUGCUGGGAUCCACAGCACUCUUCCAGAAGUUUGGGUAAAGGUAAAGCAUCUUACAACAUGCACAGGCAGUCCUGAGAGACUAUUAAAGGGGGAUUGUUAGAGAGGAAUAUGCCAACAAGAACUGCAAUUAGGAGUCGUUGACAGGAGGAAACUUUUUAAAAGAGACCACACACUACCUCAUCAACAUUCUUGAAGAUGAUCCGAGCCUGAAGAGGGACAAAGGGCCUAGUGAUAGACUACCUUUCUGCAAGUAUUGACAAUUCUGCUUUUGUAUGGUGAUAAUUUCAGGGAAUACGAGGUAAUGAGGCAUCAGUGUUGCAAUCAUCUGUUUGUGAGACUUGAUCAAAGAUGUUUCGCAAGCGAUAGAAAAAAAGGGGUUUUGUGAGAACUUCAACAACCAGAGAUGAGAUUGAGACUACCCAAAAACAACUGUAUGAGUGAUCGAUGGGACCCAUGUCUAUACAAGAAUUCCUGGAGGGAAACAAGCCUUGUACUUUCCUGAAGGGAAAGUCCACCCCAACAAAAAGUUUCUUUGAUAUAAUAGAGAAAAGUCCAAUCAGCGUAACUCUGAACAUUUCAUCAAAAUUUGACAUAAAGUGAGAAAGUGUUGACAUUUUUAAGUUUCGCUUAUUUUCACAAAA
Lytechinus variegatus (green sea urchin) is the source of this 1338-nucleotide long non-coding RNA. RefSeq lists it as uncharacterized. NCBI's taxonomy places the organism in Eukaryota, Metazoa, Echinodermata, Echinoidea, Temnopleuroida, Toxopneustidae. The transcript has 3 exons. The record is from RefSeq and is a predicted model, not a curated record.